AUUGAACGCUGGCGGCAUGCCUUACACAUGCAAGUCGAACGGCAGCGCGGGGCAACCUGGCGGCGAGUGGCGAACGGGUGAGUAAUAUAUCGGAACAUACCCUAGAGUGGGGAUAACGUAGCGAAAGUUACGCUAAUACCGCAUACGCACUAAGGUGGAAAGUGGGGGAUUCGCAAGAACCUCAUGCUCAUGGAGUGGCCGAUAUCUGAUUAGCUAGUUGGUGAGGUAAAGGCUCACCAAGGCAACGAUCAGUAGCUGGUUUGAGAGAACGACCAGCCACACUGGAACUGAGACACGGUCCAGACUCCUACGGGAGGCAGCAGUGGGGAAUUUUGGACAAUGGGGGCAACCCUGAUCCAGCAAUGCCGCGUGAGUGAAGAAGGCCUC
Molecule: ribosomal RNA, 387 nt
Filed under: uncultured bacterium
Lineage: Bacteria
Description: bacterial SSU rRNA
Rfam family: Bacterial small subunit ribosomal RNA
Source: RNAcentral